UCAGCCCUAAACACAAAUAAUUUCAAAAACAAAAUUAUUCGCCAGAGUACUACCGGCAAUAGCCUAAAACUCAAAGGACUUGGCGGUGCUUUAUACCCUUCUAGAGGAGCCUGUUCUAUAAUCGAUAAACCCCGAUAGACCUCACCAAUUCUUGCCAAUACAGUCUAUAUACCGCCAUCUUCAGCAAACCCUAAAAAGGAACAAAAGUAAGCGCAAUCAUAACACAUAAAAACGUUAGGUCAAGGUGUAACCUAUGAAAUGGGAAGAAAUGGGCUACAUUUUCUAAUC
RNAcentral lists this ribosomal RNA (288 nucleotides) under Philantomba walteri. RNAcentral describes it as "partial small subunit ribosomal RNA". It matches the Rfam family "Bacterial small subunit ribosomal RNA", at positions 796 to 1239 of the family's 1533-position model. The record is from RNAcentral. Lineage: Eukaryota; Metazoa; Chordata; Mammalia; Artiodactyla; Bovidae.